RNAcentral lists this ribosomal RNA (255 nucleotides) under uncultured bacterium. Its description in RNAcentral is "partial 16S ribosomal RNA". It matches the Rfam family "Bacterial small subunit ribosomal RNA", at positions 524 to 776 of the family's 1533-position model. The record is from RNAcentral.
UACGUAGGGGGCAAGCGUUGUCCGGAUUUAUUGGGCGUAAAGAGCGUGUAGGCGGCCAUACAGGUCAGCUGUGAAAACUCGAGGCUCAACCUCGAGACGUCGGUUGAAACCGUAUGGCUAGAGUCCGGAAGAGGAGAGUGGAAUUCCCGGUGUAGCGGUGAAAUGCGCAGAUAUCGGGAAGAACACCCGUGGCGAAGGCGGCUCUCUGGGACGGUACUGACGCUGAGACGGCGAAAGCGUGGGGAGCCGAACAGG